UACAGAGGGUGCGAGCGUUAAUCGGAAUUACUGGGCGUAAAGCGCACGUAGGUGGCGACGUAAGUCGGGUGUGAAAGCCCCGGGCUCAACCUGGGAAUUGCAUUCGAGACUGCAUUGCUGGAGUACGGAAGAGGAGGGCGGAAUUCCCGGUGUAGCGGUGAAAUGCGUAGAUAUCGGAAGGAACACCGGUGGCGAAAGCGGCGCGCUGGACCUCUUCUGACGCUGAGGCGCGAAAGCCAGGGGAGCAAACGGG
RNAcentral lists this ribosomal RNA (253 nucleotides) under uncultured bacterium. RNAcentral describes it as "partial 16S ribosomal RNA". It matches the Rfam family "Bacterial small subunit ribosomal RNA", at positions 524 to 776 of the family's 1533-position model. The record is from RNAcentral.